GAUGAACGCUAGCGGCAGGCCUAACACAUGCAAGUCGAACGGUAACAUGAGUAGCAAUACUUGAUGACGAGUGGCGCACGGGUGCGUAACGCGUAUGCAACUUACCUCUAACUGGAGAAUAGCCUUCCGAAAGGAAGAAUAAUACUCCAUAAUAUUACGAUGUGGCAUCACAUUGUUCUUAAAGCUUCGGCGGUUAGAGAUGGGCAUGCGUCUGAUUAGCUUGUUGGUGAGGUAACGGCUCACCAAGGCAACGAUCAGUAGGGGGCCUGAGAGGGUUAUCCCCCACACUGGUACUGAGACACGGACCAGACUCCUACGGGAGGCAGCAGUGAGGAAUAUUGGUCAAUGGACGAAAGUCUGAACCAGCCAUGCCGCGUGCAGGAUGAAUGCCCUAUGGGUUGUAAACUGCUUUUAUAUAGGAAUAAACCCCUUUACGUGUAAAGGGCUGAAGGUACUAUAAGAAUAAGGACCGGCUAACUCCGUGCCAGCAGCC
Molecule: ribosomal RNA, 493 nt
Filed under: uncultured bacterium
Lineage: Bacteria
Description: bacterial SSU rRNA
Rfam family: Bacterial small subunit ribosomal RNA
Source: RNAcentral